GAUGAAGCCCUUGCCGCACUGGGCACAAGUGUAGGGGCGCUCGCCGGUGUGGGUGCGCUGGUGCUCCAGCAGCCUGGUGGAUCUGGUGAAGCCCUUGCCGCACUGGGCACAGGUGUAGGGACGCUCGCCGGUGUGGGUGCGCUGGUGCUCCAGCAGCCUGGUGGAUCUGGUGAAGCCCAUGCCACACGGGAGACAGGU
Amblyraja radiata (thorny skate) is the source of this 198-nucleotide long non-coding RNA. RefSeq lists it as uncharacterized. NCBI's taxonomy places the organism in Eukaryota, Metazoa, Chordata, Chondrichthyes, Rajiformes, Rajidae. The record is from RefSeq and is a predicted model, not a curated record. The transcript has 3 exons.